This 253-nucleotide ribosomal RNA is filed under the name uncultured bacterium. RNAcentral's name for it is "partial 16S ribosomal RNA". It matches the Rfam family "Bacterial small subunit ribosomal RNA", at positions 524 to 776 of the family's 1533-position model. The record is from RNAcentral.
UACAGAGGGGGCAAGCGUUGUUCGGAAUUACUGGGCGUAAAGGGCGCGUAGGCGGCCUUCUAAGUCGGACGUGAAAUCCCUGGGCUCAACCCAGGAACUGCGUCCGAUACUGGAAGGCUUGAAUCCGGGAGAGGGAUGCGGAAUUCCAGGUGUAGCGGUGAAAUGCGUAGAUAUCUGGAGGAACACCGGUGGCGAAGGCGGCAUCCUGGACCGGUAUUGACGCUGAGGCGCGAAAGCCAGGGGAGCGAACGGG